Molecule: ribosomal RNA, 119 nt
Filed under: Scophthalmus maximus (turbot)
Lineage: Eukaryota; Metazoa; Chordata; Actinopteri; Pleuronectiformes; Scophthalmidae
Source: RNAcentral
GCUUACGGUACACCGCCCUGGUUCACGCCCGAUCUCGUUUGAUCUCGGAAGCUAAGAUAGGUUGGGCCUGGUUAGUACUUGGAUGGGAGACCGCCUGGGAAUACCAGGUGCUGUAAGCU